Molecule: long non-coding RNA, 2110 nt
Filed under: Homo sapiens (human)
Lineage: Eukaryota; Metazoa; Chordata; Mammalia; Primates; Hominidae
Description: HSALNT0372013
Source: RNAcentral
CUGCAAAACCUUCCCUCCCUCCCGCUCCCCACCCUGUUUUUCCCCCUCCAUCUACCCAAAAUUUUUUUUUCCCACCAUCUUUUUCCUAUCGUCUUUUUGCAACGCCUUCUCCUGCUUGCUAUCCUCUUUUCCCUUUGGCACUAACCACCCACUUUACUCCUAACCACCCGCUUUAACCCCCUCCAUCUAUCCCAAAACUAUUUUCCUUCUCCUAUCACUCCAGCCACGCUGCCGUCUCCGUUGCCGCCACCACCAACCGCAGCCAGGCGAGCCACGUUGUCGUGGCCCCACCAUCCAGUGCACAGCCGCUGAUAACCCAUUCCUGGUUCUCUAAGCCGGGCAGUAAGCAGCUCUACAUGAAGACACGUGAACUUGCAAGGGCCUGACUUCCCUUCAGCAGCAUUCAUAUACUGAGGUUAUAUACAGGAGGAUUCCUGGACUGCACGCUCUGAUUGGAUGAGAAGGAACCUCCGGGGUUACUCGGAUUGGACUUUAUUAUCAUGUUCUGAUUGGAUAAGAGCAAGCCUUAAGACAACCAAUCACAGCAUGAAAAUAAAGUCCAAUCAGAGUAGGCCUAAAGGUUUUUCUCUCAUCCAAUCAGAACAUGUAGUCCAGGAACUGCGUGUGCCUUAACCUCGGCUAUAAAGCAUGCUGAGGCGGAGUCCCCUCGUUUCAGGCUCUUCAGUGUCAGUGCUCAGUAUCUGCCUUAGAGAACUACGAGAAGGGGCUGCUAGCAGCCGCCAUCCGGGGCACUGGGUGGCUGCAGGUGGUGGUGGCGAUGGAACGGUAGGAGGGCGGCCAGCAGCGGGAGCUUCUCCUGCCGGGCAGGAGGACGAGUAGAAGGGAGAGGCACCACCACAUGCUGGAGGCUGGAGCUUGCACCGCCGCAGCUCGCCUCACUGCAGUUGGAGGUGACGUUGGACACUACAGCUUGGCCAGAGUGGUAGAAAUGUUGUUGCAUAGGAUUACCAGGAGACACCAGGUGCUGCAGCAGCUUCGGGAUAACUUGAGGAUGCAUCCUGGGGAAGAGACACCUCUUGUCCAUGGCGCUGACUACUGAGGACAGCUUCGGUGUGGCUUUUCUGCGGCCAGCUUCUUUGAGGCCUUUUUCUUUCAUGGAUGGUAGAGAGCAGUCUACAGCCUGAGACCCAUCACAAGGUUCCUUGUGAGACACCUGGGGGACUCCAAACAGCCGGAAUCCAUCUGCCCACUGGUCCGGAGACAGGGAUCCUCCGCCUCCUUCCAGGGUUGAUGGCUCAGGAGGCCUUCUCUGCAGGGGACCAGGACACAGGAAAGCCAGGAAGAGAUGAGCUGGGAAGGGAGCUGUUGGGGGCCAUUCUGGUUUUAAAAAUAAAGCAGGACUUUCGUUGCUUGUUAUAAAAGGAACACAUGCUCAUUUUCUGUGAUUUAGGAAAGCGCAGAAAAGUAAAAGGGAAAGAAGAACGUAGCCGCUGCCUAGCACCAGGGAAAAAAGGGCUGUAGUUUUUAGUGUCUGCCUAGACUGUAAAGUUCUAAACUCUAAAACUUGUACAACCCAUUGUUUAAUGGUUGUGUAAUACUCCAUCACAUGAGCACAUCAUGCCCUGGUUACCUGACCCUUACUGGCUAGAGAUGUGUGGUGUUCCUAAUUUUUGCUAUUUUAAAUAACCAUGGGAGGAACCACAUUAACAUGAAUCUUUGGGUGCAUUUGUGCUUUUUGCCUUAAAAUAGAUUUGUCGAUGUGGAAUUACUGGCCUGAAGGGUGCAAAUCUUUUUAAAGCUUUUGAUACAUACUGCUGGGGUUUAGCAACACCUUCCCAAGUUAGUCUCCUGACUAGAAGGGAAAGAGUGCCUGCCCUGCAGCCCCACCUGCAUUGUGAAUUUGUAUUAUUAAAAGAUAAGCCUUGCCAGAGGGACAUUUCUAGCUUGAAUGUGUGCCUGACACCGAUGUGAGCUCCGACAGUGUGCCUUGAACCCUGUGCCAGAUGCUGCAGAGGGCUGCAAAGUAAGGCGAAGGCUCUGCCUGUCUGCCUCACCUCUGGUAAUGAAAGAGGCCACUUCCUUUUUUGUUAUUUCUCCUAUAAUUUUUUUUUUUUUGAGAUGGAGUUUCACUCUUGUCACCCAGGCUGGA